UACGUAGGGGGCAAGCGUUGUCCGGAAUUAUUGGGCGUAAAGAGCGCGUAGGCGGUCCGGUAAGUCGGCUGUGAAAGUCAAGGGCUCAACCCUUGAAAGCCGGCCGAUACUGUCGGACUAGAGUCCGGAAGAGGCGAGUGGAAUUCCCGGUGUAGCGGUGAAAUGCGCAGAUAUCAGGAGGAACACCAAUAGCGAAGGCAGCUCGCUGGGACGGUACUGACGCUAAGGCGCGAAAGCGUGGGGAGCGAACAGG
This 253-nucleotide ribosomal RNA is filed under the name uncultured bacterium. Its description in RNAcentral is "partial 16S ribosomal RNA". It matches the Rfam family "Bacterial small subunit ribosomal RNA", at positions 524 to 776 of the family's 1533-position model. The record is from RNAcentral.